GAUGAACGCUGGCGGCGUGCCUAACACAUGCAAGUCGAACGGAGUCCAGCCUUUAAGACCUUCGGGUCAAAGAGGGGAAGACUGAGUGGCGGACGGGUGAGUAACACGUGGGCAACCUGGCUCAUAGAGGGGGAUAACAGAGAGAAAUUUCUGCUAAUACCGCCUAAGCACACACUGCCGCAUGGCAGAGGGUGAAAAGAGAAUCGCUAUGAGAUGGACCCGCGUCUGAUUAGCCAGUUGGCAGGGGAAGAGCCUACGAACGCGACGAUCAGUAGCCGAUCUGAGAGGAAGAACGGCCACAUUGGGACUGAGGCACCGCCCAAACUCGGACGGGAGGCAGCAGUGGGGGAUAUUGCACAAUGGGGGGAACCCUGAUGAAGCGACGGCGCGUGAGUGAAGAAGUAGGGCGGUAUGUAAAGCUCGAUCAGCAGGGAAGAUAAUGACAGUACCUGAAUAAGAAGCCACGGCUAACUACGUG
Molecule: ribosomal RNA, 478 nt
Filed under: uncultured bacterium
Lineage: Bacteria
Description: partial 16S ribosomal RNA
Rfam family: Bacterial small subunit ribosomal RNA
Source: RNAcentral